This 95-nucleotide non-coding RNA is filed under the name uncultured Gemmiger sp. RNAcentral describes it as "SAM riboswitch (S box leader)". It matches the Rfam family "SAM riboswitch aptamer (S box leader)". Rfam says of the family: The SAM riboswitch is found upstream of a number of genes which code for proteins involved in methionine or cysteine biosynthesis in Gram-positive bacteria. The SAM riboswitch acts at the level of transcription termination control. Lineage: Bacteria; Bacillati; Bacillota; Clostridia; Eubacteriales; Oscillospiraceae. The record is from RNAcentral.
CUUAUCAAGAGUGGCUGAGGGAACAGGCCCGAUGAAGCCCGACAACCUGCAUGUAUGUGCAAGGUGCCAAUUCCUGCGGGAAACCGAAAGAUAAG